Pristis pectinata (smalltooth sawfish) is the source of this 73-nucleotide small nucleolar RNA. RefSeq annotates it as small nucleolar RNA SNORD19. The record is from RefSeq and is a predicted model, not a curated record. The transcript has a single exon. Lineage: Eukaryota; Metazoa; Chordata; Chondrichthyes; Rhinopristiformes; Pristidae.
GAGAAAUGAGGAUAACUAACAUGUUCUGAAACUGUGUGAUUGCUAAAGAUCCAACUCUGAUCUCACUCUGUGA